UACGGAGGGUGCAAGCGUUAAUCGGAUUUACUGGGCGUAAAGCGCGCGUAGGUGGCCAAUUAAGUCAAAUGUGAAAUUCCCCGAGCUUAACUUGGGAAUUGCAUUCGAUACUGGUUGGCUAGAGUAUGGGAGAGGAUGGUAGAAUUCCAGGUGUAGCGGUGAAAUGCGUAGAGAUCUGGAGGAAUACCGAUGGCGAAGGCAGCCAUCUGGCCUAAUACUGACACUGAGGUGCGAAAGCAUGGGGAGCAAACAGG
This 254-nucleotide ribosomal RNA is filed under the name uncultured Acinetobacter sp. RNAcentral describes it as "partial 16S ribosomal RNA". It matches the Rfam family "Bacterial small subunit ribosomal RNA", at positions 524 to 776 of the family's 1533-position model. The record is from RNAcentral. Lineage: Bacteria; Pseudomonadati; Pseudomonadota; Gammaproteobacteria; Moraxellales; Moraxellaceae.